RNAcentral lists this long non-coding RNA (971 nucleotides) under Homo sapiens (human). RNAcentral describes it as "HSALNT0370036". The stretch from base 194 to 300 matches the Rfam family "Rhabdomyosarcoma 2 associated transcript conserved region 4". The record is from RNAcentral. Lineage: Eukaryota; Metazoa; Chordata; Mammalia; Primates; Hominidae.
AUAUGAGCCCAUCACUAACCUUCCUUAUUUAAGCUAUGUAUUUUUCCAGCUAAUUUGUGCUAUAAUUUUUAGACACAAACUUGUUUGUUUACAUAUUUUACAGUUUUUUCUAGAUUUCUUAAAGCUAAAAAACUAUACAUAACAUACUGAUUGUUUGACUGCAUUACUUAGCAUUCCAUCCGUGCAGGCAGAUGGUGUUCCUAGGUUUGGAAAUAUAAAUCCCAUGGGAAGUCAGCUGAAGACCAUUUUAUGCAUCACUCAUCCUGUUAGAGCCCUGUGCUGUUCUGUCUCUCUAUAAGACUGGCUGAAACCACCACGGUUGUUUACAAUUUAUGCUCUAACUUUGGAUCACCUAGUUAAUACUCUAACUCCGAUUAUUACCAAAGACAAUGUUCUAUAAAAGAUAUUGUCUAUUAGAAGGAUGCUUCUGCAUUAUUAAUAAAAUCACAGGGAAAAUGCAACAUUUUGGAUGUCACAUCUGAUAAGGUAAGAUUUUAUCAUGUCUCGUAAGAUGUGAUUUCAUACGAUUUUACUUAUGACUAUCCUAGCCCCAGGAAAGUUUUCAUUUAUCCAUUUGAUGUAGAAAUCUAUCAUAUAAAGCUUCAUAUACAAUUAUUUAAACUGUGACCUAAAAGCCGGGCUACUGAAUAUCUUUUGUUUAUGUGUAAGUCACAUUAUUUUUACUGUUUUUUUCAUCCUUUGCAGCUUAGAAAAAUAUAACUCAGUACACCAUACAGCAUAUUUAAAUUAAAAUAUAAAUUAUGUACAUCAUUAUUCUUAUGGGGGGGGAGCCGCUGGGAAAGGCAUGCUAUUCUAUAACCCUGGACAAAAUUUGACUUUUGAUGUGUGAAUUCUUAAAUGUGCACAAACCAAAGACAAUGGCAUAUAUACUUUGACACAUUCUGAAGUUAAAAGAGGACAUGAGGAUUGUGAGAUAAGUGGCGAUUGUGUCUACUAUUGUAAUAAUAUAA